This 439-nucleotide ribosomal RNA is filed under the name uncultured bacterium. RNAcentral's name for it is "partial 16S ribosomal RNA". It matches the Rfam family "Bacterial small subunit ribosomal RNA", at positions 339 to 795 of the family's 1533-position model. The record is from RNAcentral.
CUACGGGACGCAGCAGUGGGGAAUAUUGCACAAUGGGGGAAACCCUGAUGCAGCGACGCCGCGUGAGUGAAGAAGUAUUUCGGUAUGUAAAGCUCUAUCAGCAGGGAAGAAAAUGACGGUACCUGACUAAGAAGCCCCGGCUAACUACGUGCCAGCAGCCGCGGUAAUACGUAGGGGGCAAGCGUUAUCCGGAUUUACUGGGUGUAAAGGGAGCGUAGACGGUGAGACAAGUCUGAAGUGAAAUCCCGGGGCGCAACCCCGGAACUGCUUUGGAAACUGCCUGACUAGAGUGCAGGAGAGGUAAGUGGAAUUCCUAGUGUAGCGGUGAAAUGCGUAGAUAUUAGGAGGAACACCAGUGGCGAAGGCGGCUUACUGGACUGUAACUGACGUUGAGGCUCGAAAGCGUGGGGAGCAAACAGGAUUAGAUACCCCGGUAGUC